Danio aesculapii is the source of this 1478-nucleotide long non-coding RNA. RefSeq lists it as uncharacterized. The transcript has 3 exons. The record is from RefSeq and is a predicted model, not a curated record. NCBI's taxonomy places the organism in Eukaryota, Metazoa, Chordata, Actinopteri, Cypriniformes, Danionidae.
AGGACAAAUCUAGAGAUAUAAUCAAACAGAGCGGGAGAGUGAGAGGGGGGGGAGUGAACGGUAGGGGAUCUUGGGCAAAGGAGGUAAGACAGGAUAUGAAAACAAUAGACUCAUUGUAAGAGAUGAUAGAGGGAUGAGAAACAGAUCAGUGGAAUGCAGCACCAUCUACAGGCUAAUCAUGAUCACAAGAGGACAUUCUGAAGUGGGUGGGAUGGCUUUCCUUUUGAGAGUGGAUAUCAAAUGUGAUUGGGAAGAAUAAAUGAUGAAUUCAUUGUAGUGACACGGAUGAAAUCGCUUUGAUAAGAGAUGGAUUAUGUCGGUUUUAUAUCUGCAACAUGAGAAGAAGUGACCAUUUUUCUAGCCCCACCACCUUUCCUGUGCCAAAAAUGCCAACUGUAACAACAAAGAGUGGCAGAUGCCAAGGGAAUCCCAGACGAAUGACCUCCAUGAAGCCGACCUACCAAAGAGAAGCAAAUAUUUACCCUGCGUGUUUGAACCCAUGGCACAGUGCCAUGACUGUCCCUCAGAGCGCAUACCGGGCCGAUAGGUUUACCAGCCUUUAAUUUAACUCCCUGGGAGUCUUGGGUAUACCCUACGUGACACCAGUUAAAGGCUUUUCGAUUAUCGAUGAUUGCAUCGUGGAGAGGAAGACAUCAGGACAAGGCAUGUUUGGGAAAUAUGAAAGCAAUUUUCCAGGUCCAGCUCAUCCCAGAGCUCAGCCACCCUGAGACCAGUGUCUCCUUACGGGACACAAACUUCAAAGUCCAUUUUGGAGGGACUGAUCUGAAGAACGCGAACCAGUCUCUGAUAACCAACACAGCAGUCGGGAUCAGUGGAGAAGCCACCAAAUGAGAUCUCCUGGGCAUCAAACACACACAAUACAUAAAAUAUGUGCAUAUCAUAUUAAUGUGCGGUUCUAUUCUUCUGUCGAGGUGAAGCUGGAUGAAAUAUGCUGACUUUCUUGACUGAGCAUGAUUUACUUAUCUGUCAUCUUUAAACAAUAUUACACAAAACACACAUAUUAGUUGUAGUUUUCCUUGAAUCUUUGACUUUUGCAAGCAUUUCCAGGUCAUAUAGUGCGAGACAAUGCAUAUAACCCACCUGUGCACUCAGUGACCACAUAACCCAUAAUACUCCAUCAGAUUACCAUCAAGAAAUGAGCUCUCAAAUCAGACUUUAAUCCCUCAGGAGAAAAAAACAACAGCAACAUGCCAUCAUACUGUAUACGACAGCUGUGCAAGAUCUCAACCUGGAAGAAGAAAAUGACCACUUUGUUGCUGUGUCAGCCAUCAUUUUAACGAAAUAUCUGACUUAAUCUGAUAAAAGGACACAGAUUAGGUGCAGUGCAAAUUGAGGAACUAUGAUAAACUUUGAAAUGUCAGUCUGGAUUAGGGUAUUGUCCUUUAAUCUCACUCCCACCGUGCUGGAUCGUAAUCCCUGUCUCCUGUAGGAGCAGUUGUCAAACACAUGAUGGGAAA